RNAcentral lists this long non-coding RNA (339 nucleotides) under Elaeis guineensis (African oil palm). Its description in RNAcentral is "long non-coding RNA (EGUI_LNC018328)". The record is from RNAcentral. Lineage: Eukaryota; Viridiplantae; Streptophyta; Magnoliopsida; Arecales; Arecaceae.
UCGCUACUCCCACAGUCGAGCUAAAAUGCAAAGGGGUUUGAAGACUUGAAUGGAAUCAGCUAGAUUGAGGCUUAUGGGCUGAAAGAAUUAUUGCUGGUCCAUUUGACAUAAACUGCUGACUUGGACUCUUAUUAAUAAAGAAUACAGUUAAUAAGAGACACUAGAAGCACUUCAUAAGAAAUAACCACCAAAUUGGGACUCUUAUUAGGAAAACACCAAAAAUACUUCAUAAGAAACAACCACCAAGAUCAGGAUUAAUGGAACAGAGCUGUAUCAAAAACAGCUUCUGAAAGAUGCACGAUUCUGAGCAUGGAGAACAAUCACACCAACACACGCUAU